CCUACGGGAGGCAGCAGUAAAGAAUCUUCCGCAAUGGGCGAAAGCCUGACGGAGCGACGCCGCGUGGUGGAUGAAGUCCCUAGGGACGUAAACACCUUUUAUCGGGGAGAAAGUUAUUGAUAGUACCCGAGGAAUAAGGGUUGCUAACUCGUG
This 153-nucleotide ribosomal RNA is filed under the name uncultured bacterium. Its description in RNAcentral is "partial 16S ribosomal RNA". It matches the Rfam family "Bacterial small subunit ribosomal RNA", at positions 338 to 507 of the family's 1533-position model. The record is from RNAcentral.